AAUGAACGUUGGCGGCAUGGAUUAGGCAUGCAAGUCGAGCGAGAAGUCUUUUUUGCUUGCAUUAAAGACGGACAGCGGCGAAAGGGAGAGUAACGCGUAGAAAUGUACCCCAAGGUCUGGGAUAGCGGCGGGAAACUGCCAGUAAUACCGGAUAAUGUCUCCGGACCAAAGUUUUUCGCCUUGGGAGCAGUCUGCGUACUAUUAGCUUGUUGGUGGGGUAAAGGCCUACCAAGGCUUAGAUGGUUAGCGGGCGUGAGAGCGUGGCCCGUCUCACUGGGACUGAGACACUGCCCAGACGUCUACGGACGGCUGCAGUCGAGAAUCUUCCGCAAUGGGCGAAAGCCUGACGGAGCAAUGCCGCGUGGUGGAUGAAGGCCCUCGGGUUGUAAACACCUGUCAGUAGGAAGGAAAUUUUGACCGAUCUACAGAGGAAGUCCGGGCUAAGUACG
RNAcentral lists this ribosomal RNA (449 nucleotides) under uncultured Planctomycetaceae bacterium. Its description in RNAcentral is "bacterial SSU rRNA". It matches the Rfam family "Bacterial small subunit ribosomal RNA", at positions 29 to 505 of the family's 1533-position model. The record is from RNAcentral. Lineage: Bacteria; Pseudomonadati; Planctomycetota; Planctomycetia; Planctomycetales; Planctomycetaceae.